GCAUCAACUUAUACUUAAUCAUUUUCGGAAAAAAAACAAGAGCUGCACUGUAGCGAAGUUAGCGAAGUUCCUGCCAAAUGCUAGCAGGACAGGUUUGCAAAAUAGGGACCGACUUUUGUAUGAGCAAAUAAUACUAAAAAGAAUCUGCACAAUCUGUCAUAUUAUAUUGCCUAGUGGUUUCAUCGAUUUGCUCUGAGACUGAAUUGGAUUAUUAUCACUGAUCCAUUGGGAGAAUAUCGACAAACAAUUUUUGAAAUCUCAAGUUGUAAUGUUCAAACUGCAUAGACAAAAAAUACUACUUGAUUUCACCAAACAGCCCAAAUGUCAAAGCGAUUCUGCCAUAGUAUCAUAAAGAGGUUUUCAACAAUCUUUGGGGUCCUAAACAUGAAACAGUGUCACAGGACCAAUCUUGGAUAACUAUCUGGCUUGAUAGGGAGUCAGGGGUUUCUAGUGCUGCUUUUGUUAGGAUGUUUACUAAAGUGGAGUCGCCUAGAAAGAGCUGGUCAUGGAGCUACAAUGCACUUUCUUGCUGGUCGCAGAGUGUUUCAAUUGCUGAGUUUGGAGGAGUAGGAGAUGACAACAUUGUCAAUACCAAGCCUCUCACUUCACUCUUUACCUGAACAAAAAUGUUGUAGUUCUUGGUUCGGUGGUUAAGUGAUUCUUUCUCUCAAAGUUGUAAGUUUGCUCAUCCUUGGUUGAGUUCAGAUUGAUUCACAUGUCAAAGGCUGAGUGGUGUAAAUUUUGUUAAUUUUAAAGGUUUUUGAAUCCGGAAGCUUGAAACAAUCAAGACAUCCACAAUGAAGCUGAUUCAGUAAAGGCAAAUGCGGUACUGAGCACAGUCGAAUGAAAUUAGACAAUUACUGUAAAUUUAACACUUUAUUAAAUCUACUUAAUUUCUCCAAAAAUAUUAAGUGUAAAAAAACUUUGAGAACCUUGUCUUAGAAUUUGCAAGCUAUAAUUUGA
Molecule: long non-coding RNA, 963 nt
Organism: Cryptomeria japonica (Japanese cedar)
Lineage: Eukaryota; Viridiplantae; Streptophyta; Pinopsida; Cupressales; Cupressaceae
Exons: 3
Source: RefSeq, a predicted model, not a curated record